Sander lucioperca (pikeperch) is the source of this 1913-nucleotide RNA transcript. It is a transcript of the gene named dihydrolipoamide branched chain transacylase E2, with no coding region annotated. NCBI's taxonomy places the organism in Eukaryota, Metazoa, Chordata, Actinopteri, Perciformes, Percidae. The transcript is spliced from 13 exons. The record is from RefSeq and is a predicted model, not a curated record.
GAACAAGACUGCUGAUCGCUGAUUGGCUGCUGGGAGAGGCGUACGGCUGUGACGUCAGCAGCAGAGAGCAAAGAUGGCGGCGGUGACCAGAGGCUCCUUCGCUGUUCUCAGACGGCUGCUGACUCAGCAGUACCGGCGCCGAUGUUUCCGGCUGCAGAGCGUCAGAUGUGACCGAACGGUGCAGCCGCUGGCGUUCAGAUGGGACAGAAACAUCCAGAUGUUGAGCAGCAGGACGCUGCACAUCGCCAGCGUGAGCCGAGGACCCAUCGUCCAGUUCAAACUGUCGGACAUCGGAGAGGGAAUCAUGGAGGUGACGGUGAAGGAGUGGUACGUGAAGGAGGGCGAUAAGGUGUCCCAGUUCGACAGCAUCUGUGAGGUGCAGAGCGACAAGGCGUCCGUCACCAUCACCAGCCGCUACGACGGCGUCAUCAAGAGGCUCUACUACGAUGUAGACGCCACGGCCCUGGUCGGGAAACCGCUGGUCGACAUCGAGACCGAGGCAGGCCCAGCGGUGAUCCCGGAGGAGGACGUGGUGGAGACACCCGCCAUGGCUCGAGAAGAACACACCCACCAGGAGAUCAAAGGUCUGAAGACGCAGGCCACGCCCGCCGUCAGACGCCUCGCCAUCGAGAACAACAUUAAACUCAGCGAGGUUGUGGGGACAGGGAGAGACGGACGCAUCCUGAAGGAAGACAUCCUGAACUUCCUGGCGAAGCAGACGGGCGCCAUCAUCCCUCCGACUCUGUUCCAGGAGAUCCAGACUCCGCCUCCGGCCCCGGCCACCGCUGCCCGGCCCGCAAGCACGGCGGCCGCCGCCAAACCUCCGCCCGCCACACCCAGACCCGUCUUCACCGGGAAGGACGUCACCGAGCCGCUCAAAGGUUUCCACAAAGCGAUGGUGCGGACGAUGACAGCAGCUCUGAAGAUUCCUCACUUUGGUUACUGUGAUGAGGUGGACCUGAGCCGCCUGGUGUCCCUGAGAUCUGAGCUCCGCUCCAUCGCCGAGGCUCGGGGGGUCAAACUCAGCUACAUGCCCUUCUUCAUCAAGGCUGCCUCGCUCGGCCUCCUGCACUUCCCUGUCCUCAACGCGUCGGUGGACGAAGGCUGCCAGAACAUCACCUACAAGGCGUCUCAUAACAUAGGGCUGGCGAUGGACACUCUUCAGGGCCUGCUGGUUCCCAACGUGAAGAACGUGCAGCUGCUCAGUGUGUUCGACAUCGCCCAGGAGCUAAACCGUCUGCAGGCGCUCGGAGUGGCGGGGCAGCUGGGAACCAGCGAGCUGAGUGGAGGAACCUUCACGCUGUCCAACAUCGGCUCCAUCGGAGGAACGUACGCCAAACCGGUCAUUCUUCCUCCUGAAGUCGCCAUCGGCGCUCUGGGAAAAAUCCAGGUUCUCCCUCGGUUCGAUGCCAGCGGUUCCGUGGUUCCGGCUCACAUCAUGAAGGUCAGCUGGUCGGCAGAUCAUCGCAUCAUCGACGGGGCCACCAUGUGUCGCUUCUCCAACCUGUGGAGAGAAUACCUGGAGAACCCUGCCAGCAUGCUGCUGGACCUCAAAUAAACUUUACCCAUCAGCCCCGGGGCAGACGGAGACGCCACGCUGACAGACCUUCACUCCUCCUCUCUCCUCCUCUCUGUCUCUCUCUCUCUCUCUCUCUCGCUGUCUCUCUCUCUCUCUCUCUCUCUCUCUCUCUCUCUCUCGCUGUCUCUCUCUCUCUCCGAGGCCUUUGUGUUCACUUUCACUCGCCAUCGUUUCCUUGUUGCCUUUGAGCAAGGCGCUGUGAUGAGGAGGAGGGGCCAGCCUAUCAAUCAUGUUGUUUCACACAUACUCUCACACAGACACUUGGUUUGGUUAAAGUCUGACCUUUGGUUUGGUGUUUUUCAGUUCAAACUGCCGAGUUUAAUUUUUAAUGUUU